GAAUUGACGGGGGCCCGCACAAGCAGUGGAGUAUGUGGUUUAAUUCGAAGCAACGCGAAGAACCUUACCAGGGCUUGACAUCCUAAGAAUCCUGUAGAGAUACGGGAGUGCCUUCGGGAACUUAGAGACAGGUGGUGCAUGGUUGUCGUCAGCUCGUGUCGUGAGAUGUUGGGUUAAGUCCCGCAACGAGCGCAACCCUUAUUGUUAGUUGCCAGCAUUUAGUUGGGCACUCUAGCGAGACUGCCGGUGACAAAUCGGAGGAAGGUGGGGACGACGUCAAAUCAUCAUGCCCCUUAUGUCCUGGGCUACACACGUACUACAAUGGCUAUUACAGAGGGAAGCGAAGCCGCGAGGUGGAGCAAAUCUCCAAAAAUAGUCCCGGUUCAGAUUGUAGGCUGAAACUCGCCUACAUGAAGUCGGAAUUGCUAGUAAUGGCAGGUCAGCAUACUGCCGUGAAUACGUUCCCGGGCCUUGUACACACCG
This 483-nucleotide ribosomal RNA is filed under the name uncultured Acetivibrio sp. RNAcentral's name for it is "bacterial SSU rRNA". It matches the Rfam family "Bacterial small subunit ribosomal RNA", at positions 907 to 1392 of the family's 1533-position model. Lineage: Bacteria; Bacillati; Bacillota; Clostridia; Acetivibrionales; Acetivibrionaceae. The record is from RNAcentral.